AAUUUGCUGCAGAAAAUCUAGUAGGUAUGUCAUUGUUUGAUUUUCUUUUUUUUAAUCACUAUUUCUUAUAGCACAAUUUGGACAGUUGUUGUCUGCUUCUGUGCAAAGCAAGAGUCCAAUGUUUUUGUGGGUUAGUCUUAAGAUAACUGUGGUAAAAUUCGGGCAGCUUAAGUUAGUUCUACCAUUUUUAUUUGUUAGAGCAUUUUGCUAAUAAAAUAAGAAUCUAAACUAAGCUAGCCAACAUCAGUACUUCUGUGCUAGUCUCAAAAUGAUCAGUGGAUGAGUUUUAGAAGUAAUGGAAAUUUCUGACCAACUGCUUACUGAUUGAAGCAUAAAUUAUCAUCGCCUAUUUAUCCACCUAAGUAGUAUCUUUUAAAAGCAUCUUGUAGAUCUUGCAAUAGGACAGGCGAUGUUUGUGCCAGAAGCAUGGCAUUGAUGAUCAUACUAAUCAUAACUGAAUUGUGUAUAACUAUUAACUCUUGUUUGGACAGUAAGUAAUAAAGGAAAAUGAAAAAUUGCACUUGCUGAUCUCUUGUUUCGAAAUUAGUGGAAUAAGGAUAGAAAGAAGAGUUCAUUGAUUUUUUGUUACCCAACAUGAUUCUCCAUUGCUACUUUAAAAAUGAACUCCUCAAAAUAUCCUUCUUUUCAAUAUGAUAUUUUAAAUAGUUUUCUGUCCUUUUCCUCCCCAGUUAGCAAAUCAAUAGGGGAUACUGAAUUACUGGUCACCUUUUUAAUCCUCUAUAGAAUCAGGGCAAUAAGAAAGAAAAGAUGUCCAUUUCUUUCUUCUCUUUCCCAAGGCUUAAGAUCCAUCCUUUCCAAAUCUUUUAAAUCAAAACUACCAACAGAGCAAAUGUUUUGAGCGUGUGGUGUAAUGUUUGGUUUGGCAAUUGGAUUGUUGGUUUAUGUGAUAAUAAUUGGUAAUUUGAUAUGUAUCUUUAGUAUUUAACAUGGGAAUAGUACAAUCUUUAUUCUUGUAGACAUGUAAGAUGAUUAUUUUUGUGAACAUAUAUUGGUCAUAGAGGCAUGAUUAGAAUGUGAAGUUGCUUUCUUGAGGACAAGGGAGUGGUUUUACAGUCUGGAAUUUGUUGCCAUUUUAUGGUUCUAGGAAUUUAAAAAAAGCUAGGAAUAUGUAAUAAUUUAUAGUUGUUCUUCCUUUGGUUUAACUAACAUGUAUAAUGCAUGUGUUAUUUUCUUUGAUGUUUAUUGUUUUAUGUGAUAGUCCAACAAAUACAGAGAAAACCUGUGACCUCUCCUUUUUGCAAAGAUACAAUUACAAUCUGAAAUGUUUUUGUUCUGCCAAUGCAUGUAAUGAUAAUUUCAAUAAUUCAUCUGGCUAAUUAGUUGAAAAUGCUCUCAGGGAAUCUGGCUGAAUAUCUUUUUGACCUAAGGCUUUAUGUACUACCUAGGAUGCACGGAAACGGGAG
RNAcentral lists this unclassified non-coding RNA (1424 nucleotides) under Hevea brasiliensis (rubber tree). The record is from RNAcentral. Lineage: Eukaryota; Viridiplantae; Streptophyta; Magnoliopsida; Malpighiales; Euphorbiaceae.